GAGAGGGAGCCCCUCAUCUAACUCACCUCCUCCAUUUCAUUUUCCUGCUCUAGGUUUUCCCCCUCCCCUUAGUCUUCCAUGCGAGAGAGGUCUACAAAUUCAAGGAUUUGUAUAAGAACUCGCUUUUGCUGCGGGAAUGGAGGCCUUAACCUCCUCGUGUCCUCCGGGAUUCAUUUGGUGAGAUGUUUUUGUGAAUCGCGUUUGUGUUCUUCGCGUUCUUGCUCUCACCCCUCUCGUUCUUGCUUCGAUUCAUCGUUUUAAGACCGAUUUGACUCGUUCUUUUUGUGUUGAUUUGAUCUAUGACGUGAGUUGAGCCUUUCCACCGAAGGAAAUCAACCAAUUCCUCACGAGCUCAUUGAUUCAGGCGAAUCAAAUUUUCGGGGAGAAAAACCGGUGUUUUUCACGUUCUUCCGAUUUCCCGUUGAUUGGCUUCAAAUUGGGCGAUGAUCUCUUAGAGAUAGCUCCCCAACUGCCUUAUGAUUAUGCUCACGAAGUUUGGUGGCAGUUGGUGUUGAUUUGGCCACAAAAUCGAAGGAUUGAAGGUGGAGGCGAUUGGAAAUCGCUUUCUGCUCUCUGCGUGAUUCGUGGAUAUUCCGGGCCUGAUCCGUGGACAAUCCGCCAAUUGGGGUUUGGCAGGAGCAUAAACUACGUUUUCUGAGUGUUUUCUGGCUUUUGAACUGCGGACAGUCCGAAAAUUUUCACGGACAGUCCGCCGUUCAUUUUUCGCCGAGACUCGGAACCGGUCCUAGGAAGUUCGCGUUUCUGAUUUUUGAACUGCGGACAGUCCGUGGUACUGUAGCAGACUGCGCAGACAGCGGACAGUCCAUGGUACUGUAGCAGCCUGUCGGAGGUACCGUAGCGGACAGUGCGCGGGUACUGUACCGGACACUCCGCGAGUUAUAUUUUUGUGCGCAGUUUGUUCGUUUGAGUUUCAAAUCACGUUCCGUCUCUUGCGGUUGGGUUUCUACCUUACCAAGGAUUCUUUUUUACUCUUGUCACGAGUUGGCUUGGAUAUCUUUACUUCAAGAAUUUCGUUUGUGCUUGAGAUAAUUUUGGGACAGCGGCCUAAUAUUUGAACCUCUAGUCGCCCAAAUGAAGGGGAACAAUUAUGCACAUGACGUUGAAUCCAUACGGACGAGAGAGAGAGUGAUUGUGUGGAUAACUCCGUCUAUGUUGGAUAGGCUAGGGUUCAAACCACAUCCAUGCUUUAUAGUCUGAAAGCUAAGGAGGCAAAAAAUAAAAAAAUAAUAAAAAAAUAGACGGAGUAUGUGGGAAGCCAUCUUCAUGUCGCUAUGUCACUAGUGUGAAUGGGCUUGCAUUGGUUUAUUUGUCUAUAUAUGCUGGUUGUCUGCAAGUUAGGUUGGAGCCAAACCCAAUCAGUCUGGCCAAACUAGAUUUUGGGUUGGGAAAUAAACCACUCAAAGACAGGUUCUCUGCAUUGUUUAAUAUUGUGAGAAAAAAACAAGAUUCUAUUGUGACAGUGCUGAGUUCUCGUAACCUAAACAUCUCCUUUAGAAGGAAUUUGAUUGGAAGGAAUUUAGCAAACUGGCAGAGAAUUGUUGCUUCUUUACAACAGAUUAAUCUAAUACAGGAACAAGAUGUGUUUGUAUAAAAUCUAAGCACGUCAGGUGUCUUUACAGUCAAGUUUAUGUAUACUGCUUUAAUUAACAACGGGAAGCGAGUUUCACAGGAUAUUUGGCAAACAAAGUUACCAAUGAGGAUAAAAAUCUUUAUGUGGUACUUAAGGAGAGGAGUAACUCUAACUAAAGAUAACUUAGCUUGAAUGAAUUGGCAUGGAAACAAAUCGUGUUGUCUCUGUCAUCUUCCAGAAACGAUUCAACAUCUUUUUUUAUUGCUUCUAUGCCAAAUUUCUGUGGCGCGCUAUUCAUAUUCUUUACGGUAUUGUUCCACCCACUAGUAUCGACGAUUUCUUUGAUUAUUGGUCCAAACAAGGAAAUAAAAAAUUAAAUACGUUGUUAUUAACAGCAGCAACAGCUCUAUUGUGGGCUAUAUGGAUAUCACGGAAUGAAAUAGUUUUUGAUAAAUGUAAACCUAAAUCUUUGUUGUAGGUACUUUUCAGAGGAACUCACUGGUUGCGCCAAUGGGCGAGCUUGCAGCGGCUUGAAGGCCUAAAAGAUUAGCUCGUCACAGUAGCAGUUCACCUAGAGACGUCGGCUCUAGCGUUUUUUAGUUCCAAUGGGUGGCUUGCACACACACAUCUUGGUUUCGUUUAGUCAAAAUCUUUUUCCCUUUUCUGGUGGUCUUGUGUGGGGCUGUUAUUUUCAGCCAAACUUGGGACAGUUGCUCAUUGUAAUAAUUAGACCGAUUCUAUCUACGGAUAGAUGAAGCCGGAUAUUUAUCCUUUAUCUAAAAAAUAGUCGUCUGGCCAGCCUACGUGCCAAAUCAGUUUUGGUGUGAGCAGGUAGCAGUACUUCUACGUUUCUUAUGCAAUUAUCAGUUUCUGUACUAUAUACGAGGGUAUUGUCAAUGUGAGCAUGAAGGAGACCCGGGCCCAGACCUAACCGCUGCAGCACAAGGAUAGACAAGGUCAGGACAGGAGGCUAUAAGAGCCGUGAGAACCUAGAUCAAUUCUCAUUGUACACAAACAACACAUCAAGCGGCUAUUGUGACGACUGACGAUGGGUGUAACCAGGCAUGGGAUCGGAG
RNAcentral lists this long non-coding RNA (2667 nucleotides) under Sorghum bicolor (sorghum). Its description in RNAcentral is "long non-coding RNA (SBIC_LNC012555)". Lineage: Eukaryota; Viridiplantae; Streptophyta; Magnoliopsida; Poales; Poaceae. The record is from RNAcentral.